This 254-nucleotide ribosomal RNA is filed under the name uncultured prokaryote. Its description in RNAcentral is "partial 16S ribosomal RNA". It matches the Rfam family "Bacterial small subunit ribosomal RNA", at positions 524 to 776 of the family's 1533-position model. The record is from RNAcentral.
UACGUAGGGUGCGAGCGUUGUCCGGAUUUAUUGGGCGUAAAGGGUGCGCAGGCGGCCAUCUGCAGUGGCGCGUGGAAUCUCCGGGCUCAACUUGGAGGGGUCGCGCCAAACGGGGUGGCUUGAGGCGGGAAGAGGACCACAGAACGGGCGGAGUAGGGGUGAAAUCCGUAGAGACCGUCCGGAAUACCAAUAGCGAAGGCAGUGGUCUGGGCCCGUCCUGACGCUCGGGCACGAAAGCGUGGGGAGCGAACGGA